Molecule: long non-coding RNA, 2131 nt
Filed under: Triticum aestivum (bread wheat)
Lineage: Eukaryota; Viridiplantae; Streptophyta; Magnoliopsida; Poales; Poaceae
Description: long non-coding RNA (TAES_LNC021187)
Source: RNAcentral
UCAUGUCAUUCGCAUCAUGAUAAUAACAUUUAAAUGGUUUAAAUUGUUGUUGCACCAAAUUGAGUAAUGCAUAUGGGGAUUUACUGAAAUUGUUGUUUGGCGUUCCGUACUCAUUUAAACUUUCCUAGAUAGGUAGUUUUACUUUGCUUCACCUCUUGCCCUGUUAAUCAACAUUUAAUAUUGUUGGGUACAUAAACGAGAUCAAACUAAAUUACUUGUAUGUGGUGUUUCGUCAAUAUGCAACGGAGUUGCAUAUUGAGCUCCACUUAAUUUGUAGGAUUGUUUGUGCACUUUGCCAUGCCAUGCAUAUUUAAACCGGACAUGCAUCAUACUUGGUUGUGCAUCAUGCCAUGUUUAUGUGUUGGUUGUUUACUUUGUUGUGUGCUUCUUUUCCGGUGUUGCUUCUUCGGGUUGGUUCCGGUAACGUCGUGUUUGUGAGGGCCCGUUUGUCUACGUCCGUUUGUCUUCUUCAUGGAAUCGUUCUUCUUCCUUGCGGGAUUUCAGGCAAGAUGAUCAUACCCUCGAAAUCACUUCUAUCUUUGCUUGCUAGAUGCUCGCUCUUUUGCUAUGCCUAUGCUGCGAUACCUACCACAUGCUUAUCAUGCCUCCUAUAUCGUUGAACCAAGCUUCUAACCCACCUUGUCCUAGCAAACCGUUGAUUGGCUAUGUUACCGCUUUGCUCAGCCCCUCUUAUAGCGUUGCUAGUUGCAGGUGAAGAUUGAAGUUUGUUCCUUGUUGGAACAUGGAGAUGUUGUUCUUUGUUGGAACAUGUUUACUUGUUGGGAUAUCACUAUAUAUCUUAUUUAAUUAAUGCAUCUAUAUACUUGGUAAAGGGUGGAAGGCUCGGCCUUAUGCCUGGUGUUUUGUUCCACUCUUGCCGCCCUAGUUUCCGUCAUAUCGGUGUUAUGUUCCCGGAUUUUGCGUCCCUCACGCGUUUGGGCUAUUAUGGGAACCCCUUGACAGUUCGCCUUAAGUAAAGCUCUUCCAGCAAUGCCCAACAUUGGUUUUACCAUUCGCCACCUAGCCUUUUCUUUCCCUUGGGUCGGCCAGCCCAAGGGUCAUCAUUAUUUUACCCCCCCCCCGGGGCCAGUGCUCCUCUGAGUGUUGGUCCAAACUAGAGUCCUGUGCAGCGCCCCCUCGGGGAAACUCGAGGUUUGGUUUUAGUUGUAUGGAGCGCUCAUCUGAGUGUGCCCUGAGAAAGAGAUAUGUGCAGCUCCUAUCGGGAUUUGUCGGCACAUUCGGGCGUUGUUGCUGGUUUAGUUUUACCCUGUCGAAAUGUCUUGUUGUACCGGGAUACCGAGUCUGAUUGGAGGGUCUCGGGUGGAGGUCUAUUCCUUCGUUGACCGUGAGAGCUUGUCAUGGGCUAAGUUGGGACACCCCUACAGGGAUUUGAACUUUCGAAAGCCGUGCCCGCGGUUAUGGGCAGAUGGGAAUUUGUUAACGUCCGGUUGUAGAAAACCUAAAGUCAACCUUAAUUAAAAUGAAUCAACCGCGUGUGUAACCGUGAUGGUCUCUUUCCGGUGGGGGCCGGGAAGUGAACACGGUUGUUGGAGUUAUGCUUGACGUAGGUUGUUCUAGGAUCACUUCUUGAUCAUAGAUUCUCGAACGUGCUUUGCUUUCUCUUCUCGCUCUCUUUUGCGCAUGUUAACCACCAUAUAUGCUAGUCGCUUGCUGCAGCUCCACUUCAUACCUUUACCUUACCCAUAAGCUUAAAUAGUCUUGAUCGCGAGGGUGCGAGAUUGCUGAGUCCCCGUGGCUCACAGAUACUUCCAAAACCAGCUUGCAGGUGCCGAUGAGUCCAUGCAGAUGACGCAACCCAGCGCAGGAGGAGCUCGAUGAAGAUCUUGUCCUUUGUUUUGUUUCGUUUUAGUUGAUCAGUAGUGGAGCCCAGUUGGGGUCGAUCGGGGACCUUGUCGCAUUUGGGGUUCUUCUUUUAUUUUGGUUCCGUAGUCGGACCAUGAGUGUAUUUGGAUGAUGUAAUGUUUAUUCAUGUAAUUGUGUGAAGUGGCGAUUGUAAGCCAACUAUGUAUCUCUUUCCAUUAUGUAUUACAUGGGUUGUGUGAAGAUUACCUCACUUGCGACAUAUGCCUUCAAUGCGAUUAUGUCUCUAAGUUGUGCCUCGACACGUGGG